GCUGGGCGCAGUGGAGUGUACCUGUAAUCCCAGCAACUUGGGAGACUGAGGCAGGAGGAUUUCUAGUUCAGUUCAGAUCCAGCCUCAG
This 88-nucleotide small RNA is filed under the name Marmota monax (woodchuck). Lineage: Eukaryota; Metazoa; Chordata; Mammalia; Rodentia; Sciuridae. The record is from RNAcentral.